Molecule: ribosomal RNA, 464 nt
Filed under: Vreelandella stevensii
Lineage: Bacteria; Pseudomonadati; Pseudomonadota; Gammaproteobacteria; Oceanospirillales; Halomonadaceae
Description: partial 16S ribosomal RNA
Rfam family: Bacterial small subunit ribosomal RNA
Source: RNAcentral
CCUACGGGAGGCUGCAGUGGGGAAUAUUGGACAAUGGGGGGAACCCUGAUCCAGCCAUGCCGCGUGUGUGAAGAAGGCCCUCGGGUUGUAAAGCACUUUCAGUGAGGAAGAACGCCUGGUGGUUAAUACCCAUCAGGAAAGACAUCACUCACAGAAGAAGCACCGGCUAACUCCGUGCCAGCAGCCGCGGUAAUACGGAGGGUGCGAGCGUUAAUCGGAAUUACUGGGCGUAAAGCGCGCGUAGGUGGCUUGAUAAGCCGGUUGUGAAAGCCCCGGGCUCAACCUGGGAACGGCAUCCGGAACUGUCAAGCUAGAGUGCAGGAGAGGAAGGUAGAAUUCCCGGUGUAGCGGUGAAAUGCGUAGAGAUCGGGAGGAAUACCAGUGGCGAAGGCGGCCUUCUGGACUGACACUGACACUGAGGUGCGAAAGCGUGGGUAGCAAACAGGAUUAGAUACCCCUGUAGU